CCUACGGGAGGCAGCAGUGGGGAAUAUUGCACAAUGGGGGAAACCCUGAUGCAGCAACGCCGCGUGAGUGAAGAAGUAUCUCGGUAUGUUAAGCUCUAUCAGCAGGGAAGAAGAUGACGGUACCUGAUUCAGAAGCCCCGGCUAACUACGUGCCAGCAGCCGCGGUAAUACGUAGGGGGCAAGCGUUAUCCGGAUUUACUGGGUGUUAAGGGGGCGCAGACGGCAGGGCAAGUCAGGAGUGAAAGCCCGGGGCCCAACCCCGGAAGUGCCCUGGAAACUGUGCGGCUAGAGUACUGGAGGGGCAGGCGGAAUUCGUAGUGUAGCGGUGAAAUGCGUAGAUAUUAGGAAGAACACUGAUGGCGAAGGCAGCAUGCUGGACAGUAACUGACGUUGAGGCUCGAAAGCGUGGGGAGCAAACAGGAUUAGAUACCCGAGUAGUC
RNAcentral lists this ribosomal RNA (440 nucleotides) under uncultured bacterium. RNAcentral describes it as "partial 16S ribosomal RNA". It matches the Rfam family "Bacterial small subunit ribosomal RNA", at positions 338 to 795 of the family's 1533-position model. The record is from RNAcentral.